GCCAGGCACGGUGGCGUGUGCCUGUAGUCCCACUACUCGGGAGGCUGAGGCUGAAUAAUCACUUGAAUUCAGGAGGUGGAGGUUGCAGUGAGCCAAGAUGGCACCACUGCACUCCAGCCUGGGUGACAAAGUGAGACUCUGUCUCAA
This 147-nucleotide small RNA is filed under the name Macaca mulatta (Rhesus monkey). Its description in RNAcentral is "Metazoan signal recognition particle RNA (ENSMMUG00000053181.1)". Lineage: Eukaryota; Metazoa; Chordata; Mammalia; Primates; Cercopithecidae. The record is from Rfam by way of RNAcentral.